GUGGCAUUGGAGGUCUCAUUCCUUGUUGCUGCGGAGGAAUUCCAGGCUGUGGUGGCAUCAUACCUCCAAUUGGUCCAACGGGUGGAUUACCCAAGGAAGCUUGUCCCGGACGAGGAAGAUUACGCUGAUACUUGGGCAGCUGUGCCCUUCUCUCUUCCAGUGAUAUAUCCUCAUCUGGAUGGAUCAACUUACUGGUUGCACUGGUUGUGGUAAGGGUAGCAGGCUUACUUGUUAUAGAUGUAGCUGGUUUAGCUGCAGUACUGUUUGUGGUGCUAGUGGUUGAGGUUGUAGACUGUGUGUAAGCAGGGAAUGUAGGUUUGGGGGGUUCUGUUGUUGUUGCUGUAGAAUUCAAAGGUUUGAAAUCAGUACCAACCGGACCUUGAACAGCUGCUGCAGCCUGCCCUGCACUUGGGAAGAGUGGUUUAGUAACAGGAGGCUGAGGGGUAGGUGCUGACGCAGCAGGAGCUGGUGGUCUGUUAAGAAUGCCUGGUGCUGUAGCAGGCUGUGCUUGUGUCAUAGGAGGCAUCCCAGGACGAGGACCAACAGGUGGCGGCAUACCUGGUGGCAUACCAGGCAUAAGAGGUGGUAUUCCUGGACCAGGAGGCAUCAUUCCACCCAUUGGCAUCAUCAUGUUUCCACCACAAAAUGACUGCAUGUAUUUUCUUUGUUGAUGUAAUCCAGGUGGCAUUCCAGGCAUAACCGGAGGCAUUCCAGGCAUCAUGGGUGGGACACCUGCCAUUAAUGGUGGUAUACCAGGAGGCAUCCCUGGCGCACCUGGCACAGGAGGCAAACCUGGUUGUGCCAUUGGGGGAAUGUACCCCUGCUGCGGCUGAACUUGUUGGGGCUGAAAUGAAGUUGAAGCUGCAGAUUCAUCAUCUUCGUAUUCAUCAGAAUCAUCUUGUUGCUUCUUUUUCUGGCUUUCCUGAGUUUUUUGUUCAAGUAACCUCCUCCGUUCCUCCAUAUCUUUUUCUGGAAUGCCCUCCAUGCCAUAGAUUUCCAGUUCAAUGUCUGUUCUUCCAGGAAUAGCAUUUGGAACAGCAUCUAUUGUUUCUUUGUGCACCUGCAUGCAAUGUAUAGCUAAACCAGGUCCUGUAUACAAUUUCUUAUGACAUAUAUGGCAUUUAAAGUGCUUCGCUUUUUGAUGCUGUAUAAGGAUUUUUUCAUCAUCAAAAUCCCUGUUACAAUACCAGCACCAGGGCUUCAGCUGCUUCUUCUUCUUACGGCCCAUGACGACAGAACACGCGACCUACGCAGAAAAAAAAAUAAUAAUAAUAAAAAAACGAUCGGCCGACCCUCUUCCCCGCCGAGCCGCAGCGCCCGCAGUCGCGGCCGCGCAGACCCAAGCA
This 1346-nucleotide long non-coding RNA is filed under the name Gallus gallus (chicken). The record is from RNAcentral. Lineage: Eukaryota; Metazoa; Chordata; Aves; Galliformes; Phasianidae.